ACUUUGUUAUAUGCAGGGAUUCAGAAUUCGUGGGCGAAUUCUCUCCAACUCGGGGAGUAUGAUGCGAAUCAAAUAAAGAAGGCUUUUAAUAAUGAAGGACAAGAUCAUUCGCCCUCACAUUUAAAGUUCUUCUUAUUAUUCUUUGCAAAAGAUGAGGCCCAAAGCCCAAGCCCAAGCCCAAGAAGGCCAAAGCCCAAAAAGCCCAAGUUCAUCUCAUGAAGGGCAAGGCCAAGUAUUAAAUAAUAAAGAAUAUUGUUGAAGGUGCUUAGAGGGAAACAUUAGAAACCUCUAUUGUUAAAGCAUCUUUUAGUCUUUAGUUAGGAGUUUUAG
Molecule: long non-coding RNA, 330 nt
Filed under: Phaseolus vulgaris (common bean)
Lineage: Eukaryota; Viridiplantae; Streptophyta; Magnoliopsida; Fabales; Fabaceae
Description: long non-coding RNA (PVUL_LNC005023)
Source: RNAcentral